ACUGUUGGAAAGUCAACAAGAUUCAUCUUCAAGUUGAGAUGCAAAUGUGAUCUUACACAUUAGAGCAUCUUGGAAAAACAAAAUACAUAAUAUUAUAUUAAGAAAAAAUGAAUAGCGGUUAUAAACAUACAACACAAUUGAUAUCAGUCGACAAUCUUUGUCCCUGACAAUACCUUCUCCACCACACUUAUCAUUUCUACAAUUGCAAUUAGCCUUUAUUUUGACACGCCUUCCUGUAGUUAAGAUUCAGUGUACAAAAUUAGUCUUCUCGGCACUAAUCUGUCUUUCCAAAUUACAAGUUAUCUCCUCCCAAUUGUGUGCCAAGUUGAUCUUUUAGAACUUGCAUUUUCUACUUCAUUUAGAGUAAAAGAAAUGUUGCUUAACUUCUCAGU
This 392-nucleotide unclassified non-coding RNA is filed under the name Hevea brasiliensis (rubber tree). The record is from RNAcentral. Lineage: Eukaryota; Viridiplantae; Streptophyta; Magnoliopsida; Malpighiales; Euphorbiaceae.